This 467-nucleotide ribosomal RNA is filed under the name uncultured bacterium. RNAcentral describes it as "partial 16S ribosomal RNA". It matches the Rfam family "Bacterial small subunit ribosomal RNA", at positions 28 to 507 of the family's 1533-position model. The record is from RNAcentral.
GACGAACGCUGGCGGCGUGCUUAACACAUGCAAGUCGAACGGAAAGGCUCCAGCUUGCUGGAGUGCUCGAGUGGCGAACGGGUGAGUAACACGUGGGCAAUCUGCCCUGCACUCUGGGAUAAGCCUGGGAAACUGGGUCUAAUACCGGAUAGGACCUUGCUCCUCAUGGGGUUUGGUGGAAAGUUUUUCGGUGCAGGAUGAGCCCGCGGCCUAUCAGCUUGUUGGUGGGGUAAUGGCCUACCAAGGCGACGACGGGUAGCCGGCCUGAGAGGGUGAUCGGCCACAUUGGGACUGAGAUACGGCCCAGACUCCUACGGGAGGCAGCAGUGGGGAAUAUUGCACAAUGGGCGAAAGCCUGAUGCAGCGACGCCGCGUGAGGGAUGACGGCCUUCGGGUUGUAAACCUCUUUCAGUAGGGACGAAGCGCAAGUGACGGUACCUGCAGAAGAAGCACCGGCUAACUACGUG